GAUGAACGCUGGCGGCGUGCCUAAUACAUGCAAGUCGAGCGAACAGACGCGGAGCUUGCUCCUCUGACGUUAGCGGCGGACGGGUGAGUAACACGUGGAUAACCUACCUAUAAGACUGGGAUAACUUCGGGAAACCGGAGCUAAUACCGGAUAAUAUAUUGAACCGCAUGGUUCAAUAGUGAAAGACGGUUUUGCUGUCACUUAUAGAUGGAUCCGCGCCGGAUUAGCUAGUUGGUAAGGUAACGGCUUACCAAGGCGACGAUGCGUGGGCGACCUGAGAGGGUGAUCGGCCACACUGGAACUGAGACACGGUCCAGACUCCUACGGGAGGCAGCAGUAGGGAAUCUUCCGCAAUGGGCGAAAGCUUGACGGAGCAACGCCGCGUGAGUGAUGAAGGUCUUCGGAUCGUAAAACUCUGUUAUUAGGGAAGAACAAAUGUGUAAGUAACUAUGCACGUCUUGACGGUACCUAAUCAGAAAGCCACGGCUAACUACGUG
This 497-nucleotide ribosomal RNA is filed under the name uncultured bacterium. RNAcentral describes it as "partial 16S ribosomal RNA". It matches the Rfam family "Bacterial small subunit ribosomal RNA", at positions 28 to 507 of the family's 1533-position model. The record is from RNAcentral.